Long non-coding RNA from Oxyura jamaicensis (ruddy duck), 751 nucleotides. RefSeq lists it as uncharacterized. The record is from RefSeq and is a predicted model, not a curated record. NCBI's taxonomy places the organism in Eukaryota, Metazoa, Chordata, Aves, Anseriformes, Anatidae. The transcript is spliced from 4 exons.
UGGAAAUCCACUGAGGCUGACUCAGAAAAUCUAAAUUUUGCUGCUUUCCCAGAUUUCUGAAUCCUGGAAGCAUGGAAAACUCCCUGAUAUCUGAGAUAUGCAAGUAGUCUCCCAGCAUAUGAUGUGAAUACUGACAUCUUAAAUGUUCCAAAAUUUCCUGCUUUUGCCUCCCUUGAUGUUGAUAUCAGUGGAAAAGAGCAUAUUCUACAUGACUCCAGAAGUUAAGCAUUGUAUUUUAAUGAACUUGCAGUUCUUCCCUUAGAAAUAGAAGAUAUAAAACUGAAACUACUACAGAUUCUCAUGUGACUAUUAGAACACCUGGCAGUCAAAUGAAACACCGUCUCAAGAAGAUUGGUUGUAGACAAAAUUUGCACGGACACCAAAGGAUCUGUUCCUCCAAACAACUCCUGUUUUCCUGGGCAUCUGUCUACUGGUCACAUUUGGAGGCCCUGGGAGGGUAAUGUGCUUUGAAGAUUUUGUUUCCUGCUCAUUGCCUGAAUGGGAAACUGCUGAGUUUCAUCUCCUCCCUGCCAUAGUUAUCUCCGGGACAUUAGAAAAGAUCCCGAGCCCCAAAGGUUGGAUUAAGAUCUUCACUGCUUCAACAGCUGAGGUCAGUGGCUCCUGUCAUUUGGUCAGCACUUCUUCCCACUCAGUCUGAGACAGGUUCCAAAUAGAAUCCCUCAGCCUAACAAGCAAGCAGGUCUUCGAGGCAGCUGUUUCUGCUCUUGUGCCCCUAAUGAAUGAGCCCUAA